UUUCCGUCGGUGAACCUGCGGAAGGAUCAUUCAUAAUAAAGUGUUUUAUGGCACUUUUUAAAAAUCCAUAUCCACCUUGUGUGCAAUGUUAGAUCUCGUCAAUCUUGGCGAGAUUUUUAUACAUCAACUCAUUCUUUAACUAAUUUGUCUGAAAAAUAUUAUGAAUACUUAAUUCAAAAUACAACUUUCAACAACGGAUCUCUUGGCUCUC
Molecule: unclassified non-coding RNA, 211 nt
Filed under: plant metagenome
Description: partial contains small subunit ribosomal RNA, internal transcribed spacer 1, and 5.8S ribosomal RNA
Source: RNAcentral